This 465-nucleotide ribosomal RNA is filed under the name uncultured bacterium. Its description in RNAcentral is "partial 16S ribosomal RNA". It matches the Rfam family "Bacterial small subunit ribosomal RNA", at positions 28 to 507 of the family's 1533-position model. The record is from RNAcentral.
GACGAACGCUGGCGGCGUGCUUAACACAUGCAAGUCGAACGGAAAGGCCCUGCCUGCAGGGUACUCGAGUGGCGAACGGGUGAGUAACACGUGGGUGAUCUGCCCUGCACUUCGGGAUAAGCCUGGGAAACUGGGUCUAAUACCGGAUAGGAGCCAUUUUUAGUGUGAUGGUUGGAAAGUUUUUUCGGUGUAGGAUGAGCUCGCGGCCUAUCAGCUUGUUGGUGGGGUAAUGGCCUACCAAGGCGGCGACGGGUAGCCGGCCUGAGAGGGUGGACGGCCACAUUGGGACUGAGAUACGGCCCAGACUCCUACGGGAGGCAGCAGUGGGGAAUAUUGCACAAUGGGCGCAAGCCUGAUGCAGCGACGCCGCGUGGGGGAUGACGGCCUUCGGGUUGUGAACUCCUUUCGCUAGGGACGAAGCUUUUUGUGACGGUACCUAGAUAAGAAGCACCGGCUAACUACGUG